RNAcentral lists this long non-coding RNA (546 nucleotides) under Equus caballus (horse). RNAcentral describes it as "lncRNA (ENSECAG00000059475.1)". Lineage: Eukaryota; Metazoa; Chordata; Mammalia; Perissodactyla; Equidae. The record is from RNAcentral.
GAGAUUUUUGGUGGUGGCUAAUUGAUCAUGGUGUCCCUAGGAAUGAAACAGCCGGGCAGUCUGCUGGAGUAUUGCUUGAUCUGCAACAUCGAAAAACUCUAGUUCUGGUGGCCAAACCCUGAUUUAAGUUGCCACGAUGGAGAGAAGGACCACUCACCAGGUUUUCUGGCCUAAGCCAAUUCACAGACUCAGAGCCUCUUGAGCAAGGACUCUUCAUUACGGUUUCAAGUCCACAGCAUCAGUGAGCUACCAUAGGCCCAUCCUGGACACAAUGGAGUUUUUCAAUCUGUUGACAUCCCGGCUGUGUUCAAGGUGCUGUUUAAAUUAUGAAGACUUAUUCAGUGUAAAUCGUGCAUAUGCCUCCUAAUGUUUUGCGUUUUAAUUACAGAUUCUGGGGGCUGGCCCCGUGGCCGAGUGGUUAAGUUCGUGCGCUCCACUGCAGGCGGCCCAGUGUUUCGUUGGUUCGAAUCCUGGGCGCGGACAUGGCACUGCUCAUCAAACCACGCUGAGGCAGCGUCCCACAUGCCACAACUAGAAGGACCCACA